Brassica oleracea var. oleracea is the source of this 988-nucleotide RNA transcript. It is a transcript of the gene named probable histone H2A variant 3, with no coding region annotated. The transcript is spliced from 2 exons. The record is from RefSeq and is a predicted model, not a curated record. Lineage: Eukaryota; Viridiplantae; Streptophyta; Magnoliopsida; Brassicales; Brassicaceae.
AUACUCUGCGUCUUUGUCUUUCACUUAGUUAGGGUUUUGUUUGUUUUCGUUAUUCGCCUCUUCUUCUACCUCGUCGUCUCCCUCAACUGUGUCUGCAAACACAAUUUUUUCUUUCAACUCUUCACCUCCCUUAACACCCAACGACAUUCAACGUAUCAUUUAUUUGAUUACCUUUUCACUAAUAUUUAUUUAUUUGAGUCCCUCUUCACCUCCCUAAAUUCCCCCGAUUAAUGUGAUUCUCAUUAAAUCCAAUUAAAUUCUCGACCUCUCUGUUUUUUUUUCUUUUAUCUAUAAAUUGGAGAGAUUGUGAGUGCGAUGAAUCUACACAAUCACUCUCAAUUACUCAGAUUCUUCGAAAAUGUCUUACCCCGAUGUUGUUGUUGCGCAAUCCGCCUUCGAUGUUCUCCGACUCGGAAGAUCUCCCCAGUUCAUUGUUGCUCGCCUGCUUCGGUUUUGGGACUCCAAAAACAUCAAGAAGCAUGGUGAAUUCAUGGGAACAGGGACAAAGAGAUAGCUGAUUUUUUAUUUAUCACUUUCCCUGUAAGAAGGGUGCAUAGGCUGUUGAAGACAAGGUCCACUGCUCACGGAAGGGUCGGAGCAACUGCAGCUGUCUACACCGCAGUGAUACUGGAGUAUCUGACCGCAGAAGUUUUGGAGUUGGCUGGUAACGCCAGCAAGGACCUCAAGGUGAAACGCGUCUCCCCCAAGCACUUGCAGCUUGCGAUUCAUGGAGAUGAAGAGCUCGAUAAUCUCAUCAAAGGAACUAUAGCUGGUUGUGGUGUCAUCCCUCACAUCCACAAGUCUCUCAUCAACAAAUCCGCCAAGGAAUAGAUUUACUACCACUUUGGGAGAGAGUCGUGUGUUUGAUAAAGAAGACGCUAGAGAACUGUUUGUUUAGGAUCUCCGUUUGUUAUUGUUCUACUUCUACCAUCAGCGUACUUGUCUAUUGCAUACGUAUUUGAUGAUUACCUAAACCCUUUUCUGACUA